CAUAGGUUAAUGAGGCGAACCGGGGGAACUGAAACAUCUAAGUACCCCGAGGAAAAGAAAUCAACCGAGAUUCCCCCAGUAGCGGCGAGCGAACGGGGAGGAGCCCAGAGCCUGAAUCAGUGUGUGUGUUAGUGGAAGCGUCUGGAAAGGCGCGCGAUACAGGGUGACAGCCCCGUACACAAAAAUGCACAUAUUGUGAGCUCGAUGAGUAGGGCGGGACACGUGGUAUCCUGUCUGAAUAUGGGGGGACCAUCCUCCAAGGCUAAAUACUCCUGACUGACCGAUAGUGAACCAGUACCGUGAGGGAAAGGCGAAAAGAACCCC
Molecule: ribosomal RNA, 324 nt
Filed under: Escherichia coli
Lineage: Bacteria; Pseudomonadati; Pseudomonadota; Gammaproteobacteria; Enterobacterales; Enterobacteriaceae
Description: partial 23S ribosomal RNA
Rfam family: Bacterial large subunit ribosomal RNA
Source: RNAcentral